CGUUGUUGUUGUCACGUCGUCACGUAUACAAAACUAUUUCGUUCUCACGGCUCAUCAUCAUGCGACGGGCCGUCCUGGUAAGUCGCUGCUAUAGGAUAUGUAAGCUUGACAUCUGCCGUGUCAGAAGUGUCAACAUCAGACUGUUUGGCGAGCCUUGAUGUGAAACAGCUGUUCUGGUUCAGCAGCAGUGGAAAAUGCUGCAUCUCUUCAGGAACAGAACUGUAAAACUGGGUACAUGUGUUUCUGAGGCGAUGCUGUGCACGAUCGACACGAUUCCAACAGAACCUUUUUCGUGUCCUAAUUUAGGCUCAUUGCUUGCAUACAAAAACCCCUUAACAGUUGGAAUGCAUGAGUCCCUUAUGUGUAAUAUUAAUCUGUUCUGUGUUUUCUUAAUGAUGUCCAUUUCAAAUUUAUUUAAAAGCAACUAUCUUCAGACUGCUGUCUCCUUUUAGUACAGUUCACCAGCUUAAAGAUUGCCCAAUUACUUUUCAGGGUAAGAUUUUCUUUAAAUCCUUCCAAUGAAACUGAAGAUUUUGAAGCGUGCAAAUAUUGACAUAUAAUCUAUUUGUGGAUGUCUAACAAACAAGCUGACAACUAAAAACGAGAAACCAAACAUGUGACUGAAAAUUGUAUGGAAGUAACAUGGAAAUAGUUUUAUUACUACCUUUUAGGCAAUACAGAUAAUUUCUCUUUAAUACCCUAUGAACGAAGAGUUUUCUUCAAGUAACGAUGGAGUUUACUAGCCUUUUAAAAUCUCUGAAGCAUUAAAAGUCUCAGAUGUAAUCGAUUCAUCGUGAUUACUUUUAAAGCGUUACUAGUGGAGAUAGUGUGAGGGCGGCCCAUCUCAUGAAUAACAUUUAUCAGAAUGUAAAAAAAAAUCUACAUAACCUCAAGCAGUAACUGCUUUUACUUAAAUCUCUUUUAAAUGUUCCUUAAUUGUAAACUUCAGAAGUACCUGAAUUUAUCAAUAAAGAAGUUCUGCUAAAUUAAAGAGUAGCUUGUCUGUAUGAUUUUUUUUGUAUUAAGGGUUAAAUACAUGCAGCUACAGCCAGUGAUAUGUGAACAGUUAUAUAACUUGGAUCCAUCCACCGCUUUACCAUCACUAUAUAAACAUCCCUUAAAAUGAGAAUGAUAUAA
Patiria miniata (bat star) is the source of this 1137-nucleotide long non-coding RNA. RefSeq lists it as uncharacterized. Lineage: Eukaryota; Metazoa; Echinodermata; Asteroidea; Valvatida; Asterinidae. The record is from RefSeq and is a predicted model, not a curated record. The transcript is spliced from 4 exons.